CAGACAUCUGGUUCAAGUUCUUACUGGACCCCCUACAGCGGGCCAGUGUUUCAGUAGCCAGGUUCUGGUUGUUAC
This is a long non-coding RNA of Sander lucioperca (pikeperch), 75 nucleotides long. RefSeq lists it as uncharacterized. The transcript is spliced from 3 exons. The record is from RefSeq and is a predicted model, not a curated record. Lineage: Eukaryota; Metazoa; Chordata; Actinopteri; Perciformes; Percidae.